This 86-nucleotide transfer RNA is filed under the name Candidatus Dadabacteria bacterium. RNAcentral describes it as "tRNA-Arg". It matches the Rfam family "tRNA". Rfam says of the family: Transfer RNA (tRNA) molecules are approximately 80 nucleotides in length. Their secondary structure includes four short double-helical elements and three loops (D, anti-codon, and T loops). Lineage: Bacteria; Pseudomonadati; Thermodesulfobacteriota; Candidatus Dadabacteria. The record is from RNAcentral. RNAcentral also lists the same sequence under 1 other name.
GUCUUCGUAGCUCAGUGGNNCUCAGUGGAUAGAGCGUCAGGUUGCGAACCUGAAGGUCGUAAGUUCGAAUCUUACCGGGGACACCA